GGGGGCCCGCAAGCGGUGGAGCAUGUGGUUUAAUUCGAUGCAACGCGAAGAACCUUACCUACUCUUGACAUCCAGAGAACUUUCCAGAGAUGGAUUGGUGCCUUCGGGAACUCUGAGACAGGUGCUGCAUGGCUGUCGUCAGCUCGUGUUGUGAAAUGUUGGGUUAAGUCCCGCAACGAGCGCAACCCUUAUCCUUUGUUGCCAGCGGUCCGGCCGGGAACUCAAAGGAGACUGCCAGUGAUAAACUGGAGGAAGGUGGGGAUGACGUCAAGUCAUCAUGGCCCUUACGAGUAGGGCUACACACGUGCUACAAUGGCGCAUACAAAGAGAAGCGAACUCGCGAGAGCAAGCGGACCUCAUAAAGUGCGUCGUAGUCCGGAUUGGAGUCUGCAACUCGACUCCAUGAAGUCGGAAUCGCUAGUAAUCGUAGAUCAGAAUGCUACGGUGAAUACGUUCCCGGGCCUUGUACACACC
This 474-nucleotide ribosomal RNA is filed under the name uncultured bacterium. RNAcentral's name for it is "bacterial SSU rRNA". It matches the Rfam family "Bacterial small subunit ribosomal RNA", at positions 915 to 1391 of the family's 1533-position model. The record is from RNAcentral.